UGGACCCAAACACUUAGCCUAAUAGUAAAGUUUAACAGAUAACAGAAGCCCAACAGCGAGACCAACUAGGUAGAAGAAAACACAAAAUUAAUUGAAACAAGAAAACUAAAAGUCCCUCUGUCCAGUCAAAAUUAAUGAAACUGCCAUCCACCACUCCACAAAUCUCACAUUAUUGCUGUCAGUUGCAAUUCUUCGGAGAAGCUACUUUUCAUCAGAAUCGUCUAUCUUCUUCUCUAAUAGCAUGAAAGACCUUAGAGAUUCUCAGCUAGGUUCACGAUCCCCCUGCCUUCCCAGUCCCAACGAAGUGACGGUGUAAGAAGGCACACUUUGUUCCAGAUGCUCGGAAGGUUGGACAAUCGGGUCGGCACUCAAGUUACACUAUCCAUAAAUUUUGGUAGUUUUUGGAACGUUUAUUUUGGAUUAUAUGGCAUGUAAUAGGCUUUUGUGUCAUUAUUAUUUGUUUUGGAUAUGUAAAACGUUAGGUAUGAUCUUAAAUGCUAAAUGUUAACUUAUAUGAUACAUGUGUAUGAGGUAAAUUAUUUUGGAUGCAAAUAUGAAUGUUAUAUGUUAAAGUAA
Long non-coding RNA from Gossypium raimondii (Peruvian cotton), 576 nucleotides. RefSeq lists it as uncharacterized. The transcript has 2 exons. Lineage: Eukaryota; Viridiplantae; Streptophyta; Magnoliopsida; Malvales; Malvaceae. The record is from RefSeq and is a predicted model, not a curated record.